AGAGGCCAGGCUGAAGUCUUUGCCGAUUAGCUGAGAGGUGUGCAUGGUUGUCGUCAGCUCGUGUCGUGAGAUGUUGGGUUAAGUCCCGCAACGAGCGCAACCCUCGCCUCUAGUUGCCAGCAUUCGGUUGGGCACUCUAGAGGGACUGCCGGCGACAAGUCGGAGGAAGUGGGAUGACGUCAAAUCAUCAUGCCCCUUAUGACCUGGGCUACACACGUGCUACAAUGGGCGGUACAAAGGGCUGCGAACCCGCGAGGGGGAGCGAAUCCCAAAAAGCCGCUCUCAGUUCGGAUUGCAGGCUGCAACUCGCCUGCAUGAAGCCGGAAUCGCUAGUAAUCGCGGAUCAGCAUGCCGCGGUGAAUACGUUCCCGGGCCUU
This 377-nucleotide ribosomal RNA is filed under the name uncultured Geobacillus sp. RNAcentral describes it as "bacterial SSU rRNA". It matches the Rfam family "Bacterial small subunit ribosomal RNA", at positions 1004 to 1382 of the family's 1533-position model. Lineage: Bacteria; Bacillati; Bacillota; Bacilli; Caryophanales; Anoxybacillaceae. The record is from RNAcentral.